RNAcentral lists this ribosomal RNA (370 nucleotides) under uncultured eukaryote. Its description in RNAcentral is "partial 18S ribosomal RNA". It matches the Rfam family "Eukaryotic small subunit ribosomal RNA", at positions 592 to 976 of the family's 1831-position model. The record is from RNAcentral.
CAAUAGCGUAUAUUAAAGUUGUUGCAGUUAAAAAGCUCGUAGUUGGACCUUGGACCUGGACAGGCGGUCCGCCUCACGGCGUGUACUGUCUUGCUGGGUCUUUCCUCUUGGUGAUCUGUUGUUUCGGCAGCAGGGAACCAGGACUUUUACUUUGAAAAAAUUAGAGUGUUCAAAGCAGGCUCGACGCCGGAAUAUAUUAGCAUGGAAUAAUAAAAUAGGACGUGCGGUUCUAUUUUGUUGGUUUUUGGAAUCGCCGUAAUGAUUAAUAGGGACAGUCGGGGGCAUUAGUACUCACAUGCUAGAGGUGAAAUUCUUGGAUUUUGUGAGGACUAACUUCUGCGAAAGCAUUUGCCAAGGAUGUUUUCAUUAA